RNAcentral lists this ribosomal RNA (134 nucleotides) under uncultured eukaryote. RNAcentral describes it as "partial 18S ribosomal RNA". It matches the Rfam family "Eukaryotic small subunit ribosomal RNA", at positions 1299 to 1458 of the family's 1831-position model. The record is from RNAcentral.
UCGUGGAUUAAUUUGUCUGGUUAAUUUCGUUAACGAACGAGACCUUAACUUGCUAAUUGGAGUUGAUGAUUCAUUCGUCAACUCUGUUAGAAGGACCAUGUGUGUCUAACACAAGGAAGCGUGAGGCAAUAACA